RNAcentral lists this ribosomal RNA (774 nucleotides) under uncultured Neocallimastigales. Its description in RNAcentral is "partial large subunit ribosomal RNA". It matches the Rfam family "Eukaryotic large subunit ribosomal RNA", at positions 22 to 644 of the family's 3401-position model. Lineage: Eukaryota; Fungi; Neocallimastigomycota; Neocallimastigomycetes; Neocallimastigales. The record is from RNAcentral.
CAUAGCGACUAUCGUGGCAUAUCAAUAAGCGGAGGAAAAGAAACUAACAAGGAUUCCCUUAGUAACGGCGAGUGAAGCGGGAAGAGCUCAAAUUUGAAAUCUUCAAGGUUCUACCUUGACGAAUUGUAGUUUAUAGAAGUGUUUUCUGUUAGUAGAGUGGCAAAAGUUCUUUGGAAUAGGACAUCAUAGAGGGUGAGAAUCCCGUAUUUGGUCAUUCUUUCUAGCUUUGUGAUACACUUUCAACGAGUCGGAUUGUUUGGGAAUGCAGUCCAAGAUGGGUGGUAAAUUUCAUCUAAAGCUAAAUAUUGGCGAGAGACCGAUAGCGAACAAGUACCGUGAGGGAAAGAUGAAAAGAACUUUGAAAAGAGAGUUAAACAGUACGUGAAAUUGUCAAAAGGGAAGCGUUUGACACCAGUGUUGUUUUUCCGAAAAUCAAUUACGAAUGUUUUAUUUUUGAGAAGUUAUGACUUCAUCGGCUUGCUUCUCUCUUUAUGAAACUUUCUUAAUGCACUUUUCGGUUAACAAGUCAACAUCAAUUUCUUUUGUUGUAAAAGGGUAUGAGGAAGGUGGCUUUCUUUUCGGAGAAAGUGUUUAUAGCCUUGUACCUCUGCAAUCGGAGAGAUUGAGGACAGCAGCGUAGACUCUUCGGGGUUAGAUACACUUGUGCUAAGCUAUAGCCUUGUAUAGACAACUUGUUGACUAUGCUCAGUCAUGUAGCUUACUCGCUUGUGCUAUUUUACCUACGCUUAGGAUGUUGAUAGUCACAGCGUGUAC